GGUUGCGUAGUGUAGCGGUUAUCACUCCAGAUUCUGACGAGUUGACCCAGAAAUCUUCUGGCAACCCCGGUUCGAUUCCGGGCGCGACCU
Molecule: non-coding RNA, 90 nt
Organism: Mycena vitilis
Lineage: Eukaryota; Fungi; Basidiomycota; Agaricomycetes; Agaricales; Mycenaceae
Source: the annotation of a GenBank genome assembly